RNAcentral lists this ribosomal RNA (497 nucleotides) under uncultured bacterium. Its description in RNAcentral is "partial 16S ribosomal RNA". It matches the Rfam family "Bacterial small subunit ribosomal RNA", at positions 28 to 507 of the family's 1533-position model. The record is from RNAcentral.
GACGAACGCUGGCGGCGUGCCUAAUACAUGCAAGUCGAGCGAUGAAGAUCGGUGCUUGCACCGUUUUGAAGAGCAGCGCACGGGUGUGUAACGCGUGGGGAAUCUGCCUUUGAUCGGGGGACCACAUUUGGAAACGAAUGCUAAUACCGCAUAACAACUUUAAACAUAAGUUUUAAGUUUGAAAGAUGCAAUUGCAUCACUCAAAGAUGAUCCCGCGUUGUAUUAGGUAGUUGGUGAGGUAAAGGCUCAUCAAGGCGGUGAUACAUAGCCGACCUGAGAGGGUGAUCGGCCACAUUGGGACGGAGACACGGCCCAAACGCCUACAGGAGGCAGCAGUAGGGAAUCGUCGGCAAUGGACGAAAGACUGACCAAGCAACGCCGCGUGAGUGAAGAAGGAUGUCGGGUCGUAAAACUCUGUUGGUAGAGAAGAACGUUGGUGAGAGUGGAAAGCUCAUCAAGUGACGGUAACUACCCAGAAAGGAACGGCUAACUACGUG